Malaclemys terrapin pileata is the source of this 747-nucleotide long non-coding RNA. RefSeq lists it as uncharacterized. The transcript is spliced from 4 exons. The record is from RefSeq and is a predicted model, not a curated record. NCBI's taxonomy places the organism in Eukaryota, Metazoa, Chordata, Testudines, Emydidae.
AUGAAAGAUAUUACCUCACCUACCUUCUCUAUCUUCAAGGCAAUACUCAGGAUUUGGCGACAUUCAGAUCUGGAGGUUUGGUCUGAGCCCAUUUCUAGCUGGAACACAGCUUGCGUCUACAGUAUCAGAAACCACCUCUCAGGGAGGCGGAUCAACUCCAACAAUGGGAGAACCCCUCCCAUUGCUACAGUAAGUGUCUACACUGAAGCUCUACAGCGGUGCAGCAUUUCUAGUGAAGACAUAGCCUGUGGGACUGAGGAGUCUGCAUUUGGAACACCCCACGCACCUCAGCUAAGUGUCUCCGCCAGAUAAGAAACCGCUCAAGACGCAGCAAAGAAGACAUGUUCCAGGAGGUUCUGCAGUGCUCCAAUCCAGAAAAAAAGGGAACGCAAGGAGUGCUGGGAUGCCGAACGACAGAACAGAAAAGAGAAUCAUGCGUUUGUUCAGGCCACAACUGAGUGGAUGAUUAAUGUAAUAGAGGAAAAAUGCAGAUGCUGAAGUCCUUAAUAAUGCUGCAGACUGAGCAGAUCAGUGCUCAACCUCCAGUGCAGCACAUUCAGAACUCUUUUCAUGCCCCUCCCCCCCAACUCCGCCUGCAUAGUCCUUUUUGCUUUCUGGGACUUCUCGGUUUCCCCUUCACUCCACCCCCUCAGACAACUUUCACAAUGAUAGCUGGACCUACACACAGCUCUGAAAGUCUGCCCUUCCCUGGUACCUCCUUUCCCACCAAGUGCCUUUGUGUGCGUG